CUGACCCUGGAGCCCACCUGCCCGCCGUGAAUAAAUCCACGAGUAAAAAUCUUGGGCUUUCAACGCCGCCCGCCAGGCAGCACUAAUGGCGGCUUUGUAGCCCUGAGAAGGUUGAUUUUGGACCUGUGUUGUAACCUUAUUUCCUUCUUUUGUUCCUGGCUGGAGAGCCUAUGUGAUCUCUGGACCUAGCUCAUCAUUUUGCCUUCUCUGGGACUAUUGGAGGGCCCUGUUACCAGACUACCAGUAAGCAGUGUGAUCUAUGUACUGUGUUCAGAUGUGGGACUGUGCCUUGGUCAGCACAGGCACUGCCUGCACUGAGUCAUCCUCGGCCUGUGGCUUUCCCUCCCUUAAAGGAGCAGCUGGCCCUUACUGCUUCUUGGCACAAGACUUUCCAUAGUGGACAAAUAAUGAAUGCUGAAAACCAGUGAAAUCAUCAAGGCUGAGGCUCAUCCCUCAGAAGGAUACUGGGAGGAACAUGAAUGUCGGAGAACAGCAUGACAAGCCAUAACAAUCACAAGACCAAAUGUGUAGCCUCUGUGAUGCAAAUUAUAUUUAACCAGCUCUGGGGACUGAAUAUGGAUUGGUGCUUUGCAAAAAGACCUGAAGAGAGCUGAGGUAGUCUGUGGUAGUCUUGAAAGACGUUGACUUAUGUCUUCUCUUACUAAGAAAGAGAUUGCUACCAUUCUGGAUAGCAUUAUUGUUCCAAGCAUGUGGUAAGGUUUUUUUGAUUAUUUAUGAAAAGGAUACAUUGAGGAUGAAGUAAUAACCUAUGCUGGGAAUGAACUAGCAACUACUGUAAUCACUGUACCAUUUUAAUCCUCCCUUUCACAACCAUCAGAUGUGUUUUAUAAUUUUUCAAAUUCAUAUUUGAUAUACUAUCAUUUUUUUACAAUGCCUGUGAUGCUAACCAGUAUUCUC
Manacus vitellinus (golden-collared manakin) is the source of this 918-nucleotide long non-coding RNA. RefSeq lists it as uncharacterized. The transcript is spliced from 5 exons. The record is from RefSeq and is a predicted model, not a curated record. NCBI's taxonomy places the organism in Eukaryota, Metazoa, Chordata, Aves, Passeriformes, Pipridae.